RNAcentral lists this ribosomal RNA (468 nucleotides) under uncultured bacterium. Its description in RNAcentral is "partial 16S ribosomal RNA". It matches the Rfam family "Bacterial small subunit ribosomal RNA", at positions 28 to 507 of the family's 1533-position model. The record is from RNAcentral.
GACGAACGCUGGCGGCGUGCUUAACACAUGCAAGUCGAACGGAAAGGCCCUGCUUUUGUGGGGUGCUCGAGUGGCGAACGGGUGAGUAACACGUGAGUAACCUGCCCUUGACUUUGGGAUAACUUCAGGAAACUGGGGCUAAUACCGGAUAGGAGCUCCUGCUGCAUGGUGGGGGUUGGAAAGUUUCGGCGGUUGGGGAUGGACUCGCGGCUUAUCAGCUUGUUGGUGGGGUAGUGGCUUACCAAGGCUUUGACGGGUAGCCGGCCUGAGAGGGUGACCGGCCACAGUGGGACUGAGAGACGGCCCAGACGCCGACGGGAGGCAGCAGGGGGGAAUAGGGCACAAUGGGCGGAAGCCUGAUGCAGCAACGCCGCGUGCGGGAUGACGGCCUUCGGGUUGUAAACCGCUUUCGCCUGUGACGAAGCGUGAGUGACGGUAAUGGGUAAAGAAGCACCGGCUAACUACGUG